Long non-coding RNA from Platichthys flesus (European flounder), 463 nucleotides. RefSeq lists it as uncharacterized. The record is from RefSeq and is a predicted model, not a curated record. The transcript has 4 exons. Lineage: Eukaryota; Metazoa; Chordata; Actinopteri; Pleuronectiformes; Pleuronectidae.
GGAAGCCUGGUUGGGCGUUGGCCGAGGCUUCACCCAAAGAAGGCACAUAGGUCUUAAACGUGCAAGGCACAAGGGGCGUGGAGGAGCAGGUGGACGAGGGGCUCACGCUCUGGACAGAGGAGUAGCCUGAGCUGUGAAGAAACUGUCUUCAUCACUGGACAGACAUCUGCAGAGCUCGACUUUUUCAUCUCCGUCGUUCAGAGGGAGCAGAUUGAUGGAUAUCACUGAACCUAUUGAAAGAUAAUGACAGACAUUGCAACUGCAGAGUCAUCUUUGGUAGCAUACUACAAGAGGACUGACUCAUGCAUUCUUCCCCUCUAUGAAGUGUCCAAGCUCCAGUCCAGAAUGUCGCCGACCAGCUUCUCCUCCUGACUGGAUAGCUCGGCCGUGGGCGUGGCCACAAAGCUGGCUCUGUGGCUCUGCAUGCCGUCAUCGCGUCUCCUUGGGAGAGUGGACAAGCAGU